Molecule: long non-coding RNA, 599 nt
Organism: Sander lucioperca (pikeperch)
Lineage: Eukaryota; Metazoa; Chordata; Actinopteri; Perciformes; Percidae
Exons: 3
Source: RefSeq, a predicted model, not a curated record
ACAGAUCCACCGUUAAUGAUAUUCGUUACACCUGUGUGUUUCCUGCUACGUCAAGUCUGAAAGGUCUGCUGAGAAAAAGGUCGCGGAUUUUUAUUUUUUAUUUUUAAAUGAUUUCUUUACCCUUUGAUAUGCAAUUGUGCGAUUUUUAGAAUAACUUGUUUCCAAAUGAGGAAGAAAAAGAGUUUGUGUCCAUUGGUAUUUCGGCGAACAACCGGAAACAAAACAAACUAGACCAGCAGCGGCUCCAUUGUUGGAAGUCAAUGAAGCUCGGCAACAGGUUUAGACAGGCAUCAGUAUUGGCCGAUAGAGCAAUAAUGCACACCGGGAGAGGCAGUGAAGCACAGCCUAGUUUACAGCAGCUCAGAGCACAUGAGUCUUCCAAGGUGAUUGGAUUCAGAGGACAGCCAGGUACAUUGAGUAUGUCUAUAAAAGCUGCAUUGAGGGCAAGGAAAUGACUGUACUCAUAAAAUCCUAAUGACCCCCACCCCUUCUCUCCUUCUCUUUGUGUCUCUUUUGUCCCUCUUGCAUCCCUACCUCCCUUUUUUUUUCUCUCUUUUUACCCUGUCUCCCUCUCCUAUGUACUCCUCAUACUGCAGCAA